GAAGCUUGCUUCUAAAUGACCUAGCGGCGGACGGGUGAGUAACACGUAGGCAACCUGCCCACAAGACAGGGAUAACUACCGGAAACGGUAGCUAAUACCCGAUACAUCCUUUUCCUGCAUGGGAGAAGGAGGAAAGACGGAGCAAUCUGUCACUUGUGGAUGGGCCUGCGGCGCAUUAGCUAGUUGGUGGGGUAAAGGCCUACCAAGGCGACGAUGCGUAGCCGACCUGAGAGGGUGAUCGGCCACACUGGGACUGAGACACGGCCCAGACUCCUACGGGAGGCAGCAGUAGGGAAUCUUCCGCAAUGGGCGAAAGCCUGACGGAGCAACGCCGCGUGAGUGAUGAAGGUUUUCGGAUCGUAAAGCUCUGUUGCCAGGGAAGAACGCUUGGGAGAGUAACUGCUCUCAAGGUGACGGUACCUGAGAAGAAAGCCCCGGCUAACUACGUGCCAGCAGCCGCGGUAAUACGUAGGGGGCAAGCGUUGUCCGGAAUUAUUGGGCGUAAAGCGCGCGCAGGCGGCUCUUUAAGUCUGGUGUUUAAUCCCGAGGCUCAACUUCGGGUCGCACUGGAAACUGGAGAGCUUGAGUGCAAAAGAG
This 597-nucleotide ribosomal RNA is filed under the name Paenibacillus sp. Its description in RNAcentral is "bacterial SSU rRNA". It matches the Rfam family "Bacterial small subunit ribosomal RNA", at positions 75 to 656 of the family's 1533-position model. Lineage: Bacteria; Bacillati; Bacillota; Bacilli; Caryophanales; Paenibacillaceae. The record is from RNAcentral.